UCAGGUGAACGGACGGCCGCUAAAUUUGAUUUAGAGGAAAGUCCGAGCUCCACUCGGAAUGAUGCCCGUUAACGACGGGGCGGGGUGACCCGACGGAAAGUGCCACAGAAAAUAACCGCCGUUUUACGGUAAGGGUGAAAAGGUGAGGUAAGAGCUCACCGCGCAAAUGGUAACAUUUUGCGGCUAGGCAAACCCCAUCUGGAGCAAGGCCUAAUAGGGGUUAUAGGACCGAGACUGACCCGGGUUGGCUGCAUGACUGUUACGGCAACGUAAUAGCUAGAUAGAUGGUCGUCACUUUGUAAAAAGUACAGAACUCGGCUUACAGUUCACCUGAAUAU
Molecule: RNase P RNA, 338 nt
Filed under: SAR202 cluster bacterium
Lineage: Bacteria; Bacillati; Chloroflexota; Dehalococcoidia
Description: RNase P RNA component class A
Rfam family: Bacterial RNase P class A
About the family: Ribonuclease P (RNase P) is a ubiquitous endoribonuclease, found in archaea, bacteria and eukarya as well as chloroplasts and mitochondria.
Source: RNAcentral